UCCUCUCUUCAUGCCGAGAGCUGCAGUGGAAACAAACAGAGAGAAUUGGAGGGAAAAGACGUUUUCAUCCUCUUUCUUUCUCUCAUUUGUUUUUGUCCUUCUCUUUUCUGUUCUCUGAGGUUUUCAGUCGGAUGAGAGAUGGGAUGUGGAAAUUCCUCUCCAGCCACUAACAACAGCAGCAGCAGCAGCACAGGAGGUCGGGCUGAGUCUUCAUUAAAGGCAUCAAAUGAGUCUUUGGCUGAAGACGACAAACGGAAAAACUACGGAGGUGUGUAUGUGGGUUUACCUACAGACCUGAGCAACGUCCCUCAAGUACAGAUAGGAUCACUCAGAGAGACCGGCAGAGACUCGUCGUCCCUCAGGAAACCGCUGUGGGGGAACGGACUGUGAUUUUAAUGAAGAGCCAGG
This is a long non-coding RNA of Seriola dumerili (greater amberjack), 408 nucleotides long. RefSeq lists it as uncharacterized. The record is from RefSeq and is a predicted model, not a curated record. NCBI's taxonomy places the organism in Eukaryota, Metazoa, Chordata, Actinopteri, Carangiformes, Carangidae. The transcript has 5 exons.